This 449-nucleotide ribosomal RNA is filed under the name uncultured bacterium. RNAcentral describes it as "partial 16S ribosomal RNA". It matches the Rfam family "Bacterial small subunit ribosomal RNA", at positions 29 to 523 of the family's 1533-position model. The record is from RNAcentral.
AGCGAACGCUGGCGGCAGGCUUAACACAUGCAAGUCGAGCGGGCCCUUCGGGGUCAGCGGCGGACGGGUGAGUAACGCGUGGGAACGUGCCUUCUGGUCUGGAAUAACCCUGGGAAACUAGGGCUAAUACCGGAUACGCCCUCUUGGGGAAGGGUUUACUGCCGGAAGAUCGGCCCGCGUCUGAUUAGCUAGUUGGUGGGGUAACGGCCUACCAAGGCGACGAUCAGUAGCAGGUCUGAGAGGAUGAUCAGCCACACUGGGACUGAGACACGGGCCAGACUCCUACGGGAGGCAGCAGUGGGGAAUAUUGGACAAUGGGCGCAAGCCUGAUCCAGCCAUGCCGCGUGAGUGAUGAAGGCCUUAGGGUUGUAAAGCUCUUUUAUCCGGGACGAUGAUGACGGUACCGGAGGAAUAAGCCCCGGCUAACUUCGUGCCAGCCGCCGCUGUAA